GAUGAACGCUAGCGGCAGGCUUAACACAUGCAAGUCGAGGGGCAGCAUAAAUAGUAGCAAUACUAUUGGUGGCGACCGGCGGACGGGUGCGUAACGCAUAUACAACCUUCCCUAAACAGGGGGAUAAUCUGGAGAAAUUCGGUCUAAUACCCCAUAACAUCAGAGCAGGCAUCUGUUUUGGUUAAAAUUUCCGGAGGUUUAGGAUGGGUAUGCGUAGCAUUAGCUAGUUGGUGAGGUAACGGCUCACCAAGGCGACGAUGCUUAGGGGGACUGAGAGGUUAACCCCCCACACUGGUACUGGGACACGGACCAGACUCCUACGGGAGGCAGCAGUGAGGAAUAUUGGUCAAUGGGCGGAAGCCUGAACCAGACAUGCCGCGUGCAGGAUGACGGCUCUAUGAGUUGUAAACUGCUUUUGUACGAGGGUAAAGUGGGCUACGUGUAGCCUUUUGAAAGUAUCGUACGAAUAAGGAUCGGCUAACUCCGUGCCAGCCGCCGCCGUAA
Molecule: ribosomal RNA, 504 nt
Filed under: uncultured bacterium
Lineage: Bacteria
Description: partial 16S ribosomal RNA
Rfam family: Bacterial small subunit ribosomal RNA
Source: RNAcentral